GGGCCCGUGAGGUAGUCCGGAAUCCUGCUGGGCUUCGGACCCAGAUACGGGGGUUCAAAUCCCCCCGGGCCCGCCA
RNAcentral lists this transfer RNA (76 nucleotides) under Methanobacteriota archaeon. Its description in RNAcentral is "Euryarchaeota archaeon tRNA-Arg". It matches the Rfam family "tRNA". From Rfam's summary of the family: Transfer RNA (tRNA) molecules are approximately 80 nucleotides in length. Their secondary structure includes four short double-helical elements and three loops (D, anti-codon, and T loops). RNAcentral also lists the same sequence under 1 other name. Lineage: Archaea; Methanobacteriati; Methanobacteriota. The record is from RNAcentral.